Molecule: RNA transcript, 2499 nt
Organism: Octodon degus (degu)
Lineage: Eukaryota; Metazoa; Chordata; Mammalia; Rodentia; Octodontidae
Gene: Gramd2b
Gene name: GRAM domain containing 2B
Exons: 14
Source: RefSeq, a predicted model, not a curated record
CCCACCUCCCUCUGGAUGUCUAUGAUGAAGCGCUUUACUCUCUUCUCUAGCUCAGAGGCUGAGAAUGGUGUGGAUGAGAAAAAGAAGAUCUGCAGGUCUCCAACAGCCCAGUCACCUUCCCCAUCCAUGGAGGCUGAGUCCCCAGACCAGAAGAGAAGCGUUUGCCUGCGAUCAAAGUCCAGUUUUGAUGGCACCUCUGUAGCAGGUGACAAGAACAACUGUAAAACAGAAAGCAAAAAUGACUCUAAGACUGAAAGGAAAAAGUCUUCAUCUUCCAGCCAGUAUAAAGCAAACAUGCACUUUCACAAGUUGUUUCUCGAUGUCCCAACUGAGGAGCCGCUGAGGCAAAGCUUUACCUGUGCUCUACAGAAAGAAAUCCUGUACCAAGGAAAGCUCUUUGUGUCAGAAAACUGGAUUUGUUUUCACUCCAAGGUCUUUGGGAAAGACACUAAGAUCUCUAUUCCGGCUUUUUCAGUAACCCUAAUAAAGAAAACCAAAACUGCUCUCUUGGUGCCAAAUGCCCUGAUUAUAGCGACGGUCACUGACAGGUACAUAUUUGUCUCUUUGCUGUCCAGAGAUUCGACUUACAAACUACUCAGAUCUGUAUGUGGACACUUAGAAAAUACAAGUGUUGGUAACAGUCCCAACCCAUCUUCUCCUGAAAAUUGUUUCGGGGCAGAUCGCCCCUCAUCUCUGCCACUGGAUUUCAAUGAUGAAUUUUCAGAUCUGGAUGGAGUCGUUGGACAGAGAAGGCAAGACAUGGAAGGAUACAGCAGCUCUGGCUCCCAGACCCCUGAAUCUGAGAACUCCCGAGAUUUCCACGUGACAGAAUCCCAGACUGUUCUGAAUGUCCCCAAGGCAGAAGUAAAGCCUGCUCGGGCUGAUGUCCAUGUGAACAGACUAUCUGACGGGAAAGCCAGGACUCUCCCUGCACAUGGUCAGUCAGAAACCACUGGAAUCUUGCACAGGGUCAAGUCCCAGAAGUAUCUGACUCUCCACCACGUCCUCGUGUUCUACGCAGUUGUGGUCUGUGCGCUAAUCAUUUCGACCUUCUACAUGAGAUACAGAAUCAACACUCUGGAGGAGCGCCUGGGCUCACUGACGUCCAUCGCGGAGACCCAGCAUGCUGAUGUUGGCUUAUACAGGACCGUAGGACAAGGGCAGAUACAUUUAUAUGACAGACAGCACCAUCUGGCCUGAGACCACAAAUACAAUUAAACGUGGAGGUCCUCUGCCAGGAGCUCUCAGAGAACAUAGUAAAGUUAGAAAAGAUACAAAACAACUUACAGAAGCUCCUGGACAAUGGUGACUGACGACCAGGUUGCUGGGCCCAACUAAUACCUCACAUCUCUUGGAUGAAGGUGCUCGCAAGGCCUUCCCAGUAAGCGUUCCCUGCUGGUCAGAGGCGCCGUGGAUGGAACCCAGACAUGGUUGCACUCGGAGGUCUCCAGCUCAGGAAAAGGGGAAGGGGAAUCACUUUGCUUCCUGUGCAAUAAAAGCUGACCUUGUCUCUCUGAGGAAGUUUUUGCUGCUACUGCCUAAAGAAAACAGACCCAUCUCUGGAGGUCUCAGAGCAGGCCCGGCAAACACUCUGAAAUGAUCAUGGUCCAGCAGUUUCUGUGAUCACUUGUUAGUAAACACUGCACUCCAGGCAUACUCAAGCCUUCCUACCCUCGUUUUCACUUACUUACAUCCUUCUGCAGAUCACUGAAAGUGUACCAGUGGCCUCCACGUGGUCCUUUAAGGAAUUAGCCAUGAGUCUGAAAAGGCAAUGAAUGUCUCUUGAGUGGACAGGCUUGCCACGGGCUUGUGACAUUCUGCUCUUCCUUUCAACUGUUAUCUUCUGUUUUAGUCAUUUACCUACGUAUCAUAAAUUCUCUGUUGAGUUUUAGUAAAAAUGGCAAGCAAAGUGGAUUAAACUAUCCUGUUUUUGUUUUGUUUUGAUCUUGUGACUAACAUGUAAUUGGAGUGAUUCUUCUCACCCACCUCAGGUCAAGAAUCUGUGAGGAAGAAGACCGAAAUACUACAUUAAAACUUACUUUGAAACCAAAACUAAUCUUUAAACCAAAAGUUGUAAUAGUGAUGUAAUAAAGGAUGAAGAACACCAAAUUGUUAAGAUUGUAGGUGGACUAUGUUAGCCAUUUUGAAACAAGAUAUCGGUAUUGGAUGCUGAAAGGUAUUUCCGUGUGACAGGUGUAUGCCUUUCUCUUUUGCUAACUAAAAUAACUGGUGGUUUGAUAACUCUAUUUACUACAUGGUUUGGGUGGGUUUUAUUAAUAAUAUUUAGGGUACCGUAAGAUCUGUAAGUAUAAAGCAUAUUCCAUUUCUACUUGUAAUGCAUUUUAUAAUCAUUUCUAUGAAAUGUGUUUUGUUUAAUCAGAUAAGCUAAUAAAUGAAUUGGUUAUGUCAUUUGUACUUGUUAGCCUGCUGGACAACAGCUGUGCCUAGCACACUGCCAGCUUUUAAUAAAUACUCGGCGGUUAAAGCCCCCUGCGAACA